Molecule: transfer RNA, 68 nt
Filed under: Thylaeodus sp. TAR-2010
Lineage: Eukaryota; Metazoa; Mollusca; Gastropoda; Littorinimorpha; Vermetidae
Description: tRNA-Phe
Rfam family: tRNA
About the family: Transfer RNA (tRNA) molecules are approximately 80 nucleotides in length. Their secondary structure includes four short double-helical elements and three loops (D, anti-codon, and T loops).
Source: RNAcentral
UUUUAAGUAGCUUAAAGCAGAGCAUAGCAUUGAAGAUGCUAACGUGAAAUUUACUAUUUCCUUGAAAA